UAAGGAAUAUUGGACAAUGGGCGCAAGCCUGAUCCAGCCAUGCCGCGUGCAGGAUGAAAGUGCUAUGCACUGUAAACUGCUUUUGUUUGGGAAAAAACCCCUGGUUUCUACCGGGGCUGAUUGUACCAAAAGAAUAAGGGACGGCUAACUUCGUGCCAGCAGCCGCGGUAAUACGAAGGUCCCAAGCGUUAUCCGGAUUUAUUGGGUUUAAAGGGUGCGUAGGCGGGCUAUUAAGUCAGUGGUGAAAGCCCCAAGCUUAACUUGGGAACUGCCAUUGAUACUGAUGGUCUUGAGUACAUUUGAGGUGGGCGGAAUGUGUCAUGUAGCGGUGAAAUGCUUAGAUAUGACACAGAACACCGAUUGCGAAGGCAGCUCACUAAACUGUAACUGACGCUGAGGCACGAAAGCGUGGGGAGCAAACAG
This 423-nucleotide ribosomal RNA is filed under the name uncultured bacterium. Its description in RNAcentral is "bacterial SSU rRNA". It matches the Rfam family "Bacterial small subunit ribosomal RNA", at positions 355 to 775 of the family's 1533-position model. The record is from RNAcentral.